CUCUGUGUUUUUCUGUGUGGACAGAGCUGUGUCCCUGUGACCUCAGUCUCUGUGUCUCUCUGUGUGGACAGAGCUGUGUCCCUGUGACCUCAGUCUCUGUGUCUCUCUGUGUGGACAGAGCUGUGUCCCUGUGACCUCAGUCCUGGGCUCUGUGACCUCAGCUGUUGCUGUGAUCUCCACGACUGUGACCAGACAGACCUGCGCAGCGUCUUCACCUCCUGUGUGGAGGAGGCUGGCAGGUCUCCCAGUGUCCAGUGUGUGGAGGGCUGGAUGCUCUUCAAGGUGAAUGUGGCCUCUGGGAUACUGUGGCGAACAGAGGGACAGACGAACCUCCUCUGUGUGCAGACAGACAGUGGGGUGAGCUCCUGGUCCUCUCCGUCAGUGUCUCGGUUCCCUGAGCUGGGCUCUUCCUGGGUGAGCCCUGCUCCUUGGCCCUUCU
Molecule: non-coding RNA, 439 nt
Organism: Lepisosteus oculatus (spotted gar)
Lineage: Eukaryota; Metazoa; Chordata; Actinopteri; Semionotiformes; Lepisosteidae
Source: RefSeq, a predicted model, not a curated record